Molecule: long non-coding RNA, 1191 nt
Organism: Spinacia oleracea (spinach)
Lineage: Eukaryota; Viridiplantae; Streptophyta; Magnoliopsida; Caryophyllales; Amaranthaceae
Exons: 3
Source: RefSeq, a predicted model, not a curated record
GCAGGGCCUAAGCUAUUGGCGUUUUUUCAUCAGCGUUUGGUCUUACAUUGCUCAUAUUCCCAAUAUGCGAGCCUAAGCUACUAGCGUUUUCAUCAGCUCUUGGUCGUACAUUGGGUGUAUUCCCAAUAUGUGGUAUAAGUCAGACCAUGGAAUGUUCCACUUCUGCAUUGCGGACAGUGAGCAUGACUGGAGGGAAAGACCAAUACAAGUUCAUUGAGAACUGCCUUUCAACAACAGAUAGGCAAAAGCAACCUUGGCGAAUCUAGCAAUACAAGUUCAUUGAGAACUGCCUUUCAACAACAGAUAGGCAAAAGCAACCUUGGCAAAUCUUUGCAGUCCAUCGUGUCCUUGGUUAUUCAUCAGACAUGGUAUGGGAAAGAGGGCUCAUUUAAAGAGCCAAUGGGGAGAAAAAGGCUUCAAAAGCUUUGGCAAAGGUACAAAUUUGAUAUUUCAUUCUAUGGACAUGUACAUAACUACGAAAGGUCGUGCCCUAUAUACCAGGUAUUGCUUGGAUUCCCUCACAUGUGAACAAUAUUUUCUUUUACCUAACUACAAGGAUUUUUUAAUGUUAUUCAUGAAACAUAAAAUCCAGUUCCGUUUUUUUCGUGAGAAAAAAUAUUGCAAGGUAAUUCUCAUUCUUUCCAGCAGUAACAUAAGUUACCCGAAGAGCAGCAAAAAGAAUUAUCAGAGCUGAUGUGUAUGAAUGACCUUAUUAAUCAAUCAAUUUAGUAAAGACAAAUGAAAAGACUAAAGGAACAAAUUCAACUCUCAACUUAAACUGGUCAAUCAGUUUGUUCUGAUCAUAACAAAAGAAUCUCUAAUUGGAGUUUAUUUGGCUAAUUUAUAUGAUGGAAAUUGGAAACUCAAGCUAAAAUUUUGGAGUUUAUUUGGACCAAAUGGAGCAAUUCCCAACUCUUAAAGAACCAAAAUAAUCUAUUACAAGAGGAUCACAGUGAUGGACCGUAUCACAUCUCAGUUUUGGACCAUAUGAGUAUAAUUCAAAAGAACAAUUAAAAUUUUAUAUGCUCCUUGUGAAGGAAAUAAUGCCCUUGGUCAAGUAUGCAUAUAAUAUUAAGUCUAAUAAAUGCGGUUCAGUAUUAGUUAACCAGUUAAUAAUUCAGUGAGAUCAAGUGAGCUGAAUGCCUAGCUAGAGGCCGCUUCAGUUCAAGUGGAAUUAAUUAUAUUAAUCCA